This is a long non-coding RNA of Hydra vulgaris (swiftwater hydra), 830 nucleotides long. RefSeq lists it as uncharacterized. The record is from RefSeq and is a predicted model, not a curated record. Lineage: Eukaryota; Metazoa; Cnidaria; Hydrozoa; Anthoathecata; Hydridae.
UUUGUUCAUUGUUUGAGCAAAUAUCAAUGGAUUUCGCUGUUGUUUACUAAUACUCGAAGUCGUAUAAAUCUGAGAAGUGUAAAUAAAUCUCGUUAAGGAAGUCAUUAAAAAGUUUACAUCGCGUCUGAUUAUUUAGUUUUGACUUAAAUGAAUAAAAAUUACUAUUUUGAGAAAAAGUCGCGACUUCCACAAGUUUUUUUUUUAAAUACUUAGUAAUGACGUAGCUUUGGUAGAAUUAUCGUAUAUUUUAUUUUAUUUGAAAUUGAAACAAGUUUCUGAUCACGGUAAAAUUCUAAAGCUUCCAAUCAGAGCGUUUUUUACCAGAUAUCAAUUUUAAAAUCUUCAUCGUAGAAUGUUUUUUCACAUCAUAAAUCGUCCAAUCAGGAUUAUUAUUUUUAGAUAUUAGCAUUUAAUUAACGAUUAAGAAGGUAUUAAAACGUAAGAAAACAUUUGGCUAGGUCAAUACAUUUUAUUAAAAGAGAAUUUUAGACUAUCAACGUUGAUUGGAGAAGAUAUUUUUUGUUUGAAUAUUGCAACACUCAAUAAUUAGAUAAAAGAUGGAUGAGUGCAAAAAGACGGGAACAACGCUAAGAAAAAUCGGUGAUAACUUUGAACGAAAAGCAACGUGUAAUAAUAGCACACCUCAAACACCGCAAUACCAAAAACAAACUUCCUUAAACUCAAGCUUGAAUGGAAUAAAAUAUUGAUAGUUGAAAACAAAAAAGAUACUUGAGAAAACUUUUUAACGACUAUUUGUAGAUUUUGGUAUAAAAACUUUGUAAAUAUGUCAAUAGUGUGAAGAGUAUGUAAAUAUAAUCUAUAACUGUAAA